RNAcentral lists this ribosomal RNA (243 nucleotides) under uncultured Staphylococcus sp. RNAcentral's name for it is "partial 16S ribosomal RNA". It matches the Rfam family "Bacterial small subunit ribosomal RNA", at positions 118 to 355 of the family's 1533-position model. The record is from RNAcentral. Lineage: Bacteria; Bacillati; Bacillota; Bacilli; Caryophanales; Staphylococcaceae.
UGGAUAACCUACCUAUAAGACUGGGAUAACUUCGGGAAACCGGAGCUAAUACCGGAUAAUAUAUUGAACCGCAUGGUUCAAUAGUGAAAGACGGUUUGCUGUCACUUAUAGAUGGAUCCGCGUCGCAUUAGCUAGUUGGUAAGGUAACGGCUUACCAAGGCAACGAUGCGUAGCCGACCUGAGAGGGUGAUCGGCCACACUGGAACUGAGACACGGUCCAGACUCCUACGGGAGGCAGCAGCC